CAGUCGCCGCGGUAAUACGUAGGUGGCAAGCGUUGUCCGGAUUUACUGGGCGUAAAGGGCGCGUAGGCGGGCUGAUAAGUCAGGGGUGAAAUCCCAAGGCUCAACCUUGGAACUGCCUUUGAUACUGUUUGUCUUGAGUUCGAGAGAGGUAAGUGGAACUGCGAGUGUAGAGGUGAAAUUCGUAGAUAUUCGCAAGAACACCAGUGGCGAAGGCGGCUUACUGGCUCGAAACUGACGCUGAGGCGCGAAAGCGUGGGGAGCAAACAGGAUUAGAUACCCCCGUAGUCCCUGUCUCUUAUAC
This 301-nucleotide ribosomal RNA is filed under the name uncultured bacterium. Its description in RNAcentral is "partial 16S ribosomal RNA". It matches the Rfam family "Bacterial small subunit ribosomal RNA", at positions 509 to 807 of the family's 1533-position model. The record is from RNAcentral.